Molecule: transfer RNA, 83 nt
Filed under: Candidatus Bathyarchaeota archaeon
Lineage: Archaea; Thermoproteati; Candidatus Bathyarchaeota
Description: tRNA-Val
Source: RNAcentral
GGUCCGGCUACCGGACCCUGUUUGCGGGAAGGCACUAACCCUGCUCCGUAGGGCCGCGGGUUCAAAUCCCGCCCGGUCCACCA